UUGGGAAAAGAUCUUUACCAAUUCUAUAC
RNAcentral lists this non-coding RNA (29 nucleotides) under Mus musculus (house mouse). The record is from RNAcentral. Lineage: Eukaryota; Metazoa; Chordata; Mammalia; Rodentia; Muridae.